This 223-nucleotide unclassified non-coding RNA is filed under the name Hevea brasiliensis (rubber tree). The record is from RNAcentral. Lineage: Eukaryota; Viridiplantae; Streptophyta; Magnoliopsida; Malpighiales; Euphorbiaceae.
AUUCUCGGUUUCGGCUUCAUCCUUGUCAGCGGCUUCGCGCUGAUGCCGGCGCUGAUCAUGGCGCUGGUCACCGAAGCCUUUUCGAUCCGGCACAUUCUUGCCUACGCUGUCGCAGGCGGCCUCGCGGGCCUGUGCUGCUAUCUUGCCUUCAUCCCGUUCGACACCGUGAACAUGACCUUCAACGGCAUCAUCCGCCGGCAUCUCGAAGUGAUGGUCGGUGCGG